This 460-nucleotide ribosomal RNA is filed under the name uncultured bacterium. RNAcentral's name for it is "partial 16S ribosomal RNA". It matches the Rfam family "Bacterial small subunit ribosomal RNA", at positions 338 to 795 of the family's 1533-position model. The record is from RNAcentral.
CCUACGGGAGGCUGCAGUGAGGAAUAUUGGUCAAUGGGCGAGAGCCUGAACCAGCCAAGUCGCGUGAAGGAUGACGGCCCUACGGGUUGUAAACUUCUUUUGUCAGGGAGCAAUUUGGUCCACGCGUGUGCUUAGCGAGAGUACCUGAAGAAACAGCCUCGGCUAACUCCGUGCCAGCAGCCGCGGUAAUACGGAGGCUGCGAGCGUUCUCCGGAUUUAUUGGGUUUAAAGGGUGCGUAGGCGGAAUAUCAAGUCAGCGGUAAAAAUUCGGGGCUCAACCCCGUCGUGCCGUUGAAACUGAUGGUCUUGAGUGGGCGAGAAGUAGGCGGAAUGCGUGGUGUAGCGGUGAAAUGCAUAGAUAUCACGCAGAACUCCGAUUGCGAAGGCAGCAUACCGGCGCCCAACUGACGCUGAAGCACGAAAGCGUGGGUAUCGAACAGGAUUAGAUACCCCAGUAGUC